GACGAACGCUGGCGGCGUGCCUAAUACAUGCAAGUAGAACGCACAGUUUAUACCGUAGCUUGCUACACCAUAGACUGUGAGUUGCGAACGGGUGAGUAACGCGUAGGUAACCUGCCUGGUAGCGGGGGAUAACUAUUGGAAACGAUAGCUAAUACCGCAUAAUAUUGAUUAUUGCAUGAUAAUUGAUUGAAAGAUGCUAUUGCAUCACUACCAGAUGGACCUGCGUUGUAUUAGCUAGUAGGUGAGGUAACGGCUCACCUAGGCGACGAUACAUAGCCGACCUGGGAGGGUGAUCGGCCCACCUGGGACUGAGACACGGCCCAGACUUCUACGGGAGGCAGCAGUAGGGGAUCUUCGGCAAUGGACGAAAGUCUUACCGAGCAACGCCGCGGGAGUGAAGAAGGGUUUCGGAUCGGAAAGCUCUGUUGUAAGAGAAGAACGGGUGUGAGAGUGGAAAGUUCACACUGUGACGGUAUCUUACCAGAAAGAGACGGCUAACUACGUG
Molecule: ribosomal RNA, 505 nt
Filed under: uncultured bacterium
Lineage: Bacteria
Description: partial 16S ribosomal RNA
Rfam family: Bacterial small subunit ribosomal RNA
Source: RNAcentral